AUUGAACGCUGGCGGAAUGCUUUACACAUGCAAGUCGAACGGUAGAGGGGGCAACCCCUCGAGAGUGGCGAACGGGUGAGUAAUAUAUCGGAACGUGCCUAGUCGUGGGGGAUAACGUAGCGAAAGUUACGCUAAUACCGCAUACGAUCUAAGGAUGAAAGCGGGGGAUCGCAAGACCUCGCGCGAUUGGAGCGGCCGAUAUCAGAUUAGGUAGUUGGUGGGGUAAAGGCUCACCAAGCCAACGAUCUGUAGCUGGUCUGAGAGGACGACCAGCCACACUGGAACUGAGACACGGUCCAGACUCCUACGGGAGGCAGCAUUGGGGAAGUUUGGACAAUGGACGCAAGUCUGAUCCAGCCAUUCCGCGUGCAGGAUGAGGGCCCUCGGGUUGUAAACUGCUUUUGUACGGAACGAAAAGGUCUCUCUUAAUACGGGGGGCUCAUGACGGUACCGUAAGAAUAAGCACCGGCUAACUACGUGCCAGCCGCCGCCGUAA
Molecule: ribosomal RNA, 496 nt
Filed under: uncultured bacterium
Lineage: Bacteria
Description: partial 16S ribosomal RNA
Rfam family: Bacterial small subunit ribosomal RNA
Source: RNAcentral